GGGGACGACUGGUUUUGACAGCAAGGACAGUAGAUUGGUAAGCAUAUCGAGUUAUGAAAUAACACUCGUAAAACCUAAUUUCAACUUUUUAAACGGCGAAGAUAACUACGCUUUAGCUGCAUAAUCCGAAUUAUAGUAGGAUUGGCCUCGGCACACUAGGUGUGCAAGCUUUAUGUCCACGAACAGCCUUGAUUUACGGCGUUUCACUUUUGGAUAUCGUAAAAGUAAAUAUAG
This 234-nucleotide transfer-messenger RNA is filed under the name Polaribacter sp. RNAcentral describes it as "partial transfer-messenger RNA". It matches the Rfam family "transfer-messenger RNA", at positions 1 to 249 of the family's 374-position model. From Rfam's summary of the family: Bacterial tmRNA, also known as 10Sa RNA or SsrA, is named for its dual tRNA and mRNA-like properties. Its role is to liberate the mRNA from a stalled ribosome. The record is from RNAcentral. Lineage: Bacteria; Pseudomonadati; Bacteroidota; Flavobacteriia; Flavobacteriales; Flavobacteriaceae.